CACAUUGGAAAUAAAUUUCAUAAUUCGAUUUAGAAUACAGAGUUCUUUGUUGAGUUCUUCGAGAAUGAAAAGAAAAAGAGAUAACAACGAUCGUUGCAAUAAAUGUGGAUUGCAAACAAUACUUCGACCAGAGCAUGCAGCAGUUGUGACGCAAAUAUUGUUUGAGCGCAGUCUUCAAAUGACGGAAGUUGCCUCAAUGGCCUCACUUUUGAUUUUAUUCAAGGUGAAUGAAGCACUCGAUAAUGAAGAUCGUCAGUUCUUUUUGCGACGGAAUCGUCGACAGUUCUUCUUCGAUUGCUUCAAUGCGGUAUUGGCCGAAAAUGUUUACAAUUAUAAUAGCCGAAAUCCCAUACCGCCAGAGUUUCGGUUCAUGGUCGAAAACUUCAGUGAUGAACAGUUGGAAUGGCCAAGCAAGGAAAAGUUGGAGAAUGGUUUUCGUUAUUUUGUCAAAUAGCACAUCGCAAAUACGAAAACUGGUCUCACCACUUGGUGUGAAGAUCGACUUGAGUCAUUCUUUCGAAUGCGAUGCUGGUAUCGCAAUCACAACAUCUAUGGACCGAGAUUUGAUGGCAUCGACAUCAGAAAUGCCAAAAUGUAAGCAUAUCGAUCCAACGACUUGAGAAAUGGUAAUGUGGAAAGAAUGAAAAAGGCCAACAUUUUAUUGGAUGAUCUGGUCGCAAUUGGAUGGCGACGCGAAAAAUGCAUGAAAUUUUUUGUAAAAGAUCAUUGGUUUGAAUCGUUGUGGUUGUUCGGACAAAUUCAACGUCAAAUAGCAGCUUAUCACAGUGAUGCCGCACAAUGGAGUACCAGUCAUGAAAUAUUUCGUGACAAUCCAAACUUUCAACAGCCAACAAACAAUCGACCACGGAAAAUAAACAGUUUUGCUCUUUUACCGUUAUGCGAUUAUCAUUUGAAGUGCGUGCGUAUAACAAAUUGGCAAGCAAGCUAAAAGUGGUGCCCAGAUUCCUGAAUACUGGGACCAACCGGCUAAAAAAAUACCCCGAAAAAUACUACAGAGAGCAUGAUCGAGAUGGACUAUGGAAUUUGUUGUUCGACGUCGAUAAAAUCAAGCAAUUGGGCAAAGGAUCCAAACAAUUCCAUCAUCAAAUCGUGACCGCCACUGUUCCGUAUCGGCAAUGUACACCAAACUAGAGCAGACGUGCAACGAAAAUGUGCAUUUACAGGCGGACAAUCUUGUAGGCAAGAAAUACGUUAUUGGCAUCGAUCCGAAUGAAAAAACGUGGUUGGCUAUAACGCGUCGCAACAUCCGGAAAACACCUAAUGAACCGGCCGUUGAGGAAAACAUCACAAUACCAAACACGCGAUUCUACUGGAAAACUCGGCAGAAACGAAGAGAAAAAGAGGCGAAAAAAUUAGUUGGAUGGUUUGAUAUCGAAGAAAAGGAUCAUCUGAAGACAUACCCAUUCGGUCCACCAUCACCGCGUAAUUCAACAUGGAAAUGGUACAUUGAGUAUCGCAUCAAAAUGCUACGAAAAGGAAUGUCAGCAUAUGCUACGCGCAAAUAUUCACGACUGGAUUUUGAUCAUUACAUGAAGUCGAACCAGGUAAAUGAUAACAUAGCCGUGACAGUGACCAACAACAUGCCGUCAAUAAAUAUCUUUGGUGCAUCGGAGAUGCCACCCAAUCGGCCAUUUGGUUUGAAGAGACGGAAAAGAUAUCAAGGAUCUCGAAAAUUGUUGGUGAGCGUCAAGAAACUUGGCCAUACUCAGUCGCUAGUCCGGACUCAGUCGCUAGUCUACCAGAUAUAAUUGUGACAACGGUUAGCAAACGUGCUUUGCAAGAGGGACGGAAGGAAAUUAAGCGUCGAAUUCGCAAUGGCAAUUAUCAGGAUGUGGAGGAAAUACUUCGGAAUGGGUGUUUAAUGUCAAAGGUUAAAUGUUCAGGAUGGUGGUGCUGCUCCACAGACAGUUGUUUGGCACCGCGAUAUUGUUGCUGCAAAAUUCAUUAUGCUCAAAGGACUUUGUCGGAUGUUCGGCGUACUAGUGCCUGAUUCGUUGAGAAAACCACCAAACAAUGUCAACUGACAAGCAGCAGCACAUACAUAGUUCAUGUGUUUCAUUUCAGUUUCAGCUUUGAUUUUCUUUUAAUUGAAAAAUAUUUUUUUAAACCAAUAUUUCUGGACCGUAUGUUUUUAUUUGAUAAAGAGAUGAAUUGUUUUGCUUGUAUAAAAAUCAUGUAAAUUCAUAUCGUGUAUGUAAUGUGUGUGAAUGCCAUUUUGCUCGGAGUGUCAUGAACUUUAACUCUAUUCACAUCAAACAAUUAUCAUUACAAAAUU
RNA transcript from Contarinia nasturtii (swede midge), 2296 nucleotides. RefSeq lists it as uncharacterized. The transcript is spliced from 4 exons. Lineage: Eukaryota; Metazoa; Arthropoda; Insecta; Diptera; Cecidomyiidae. The record is from RefSeq and is a predicted model, not a curated record.